AGAAGUAGAACUCAGUAGGAGAGUGAUUGCCUUGAAUGCAUUAGACCACGGGUUUGAUCCCUAAUACUGCUC
RNAcentral lists this transfer RNA (72 nucleotides) under Dipodomys ordii (Ord's kangaroo rat). It matches the Rfam family "tRNA". From Rfam's summary of the family: Transfer RNA (tRNA) molecules are approximately 80 nucleotides in length. Their secondary structure includes four short double-helical elements and three loops (D, anti-codon, and T loops). The record is from Rfam by way of RNAcentral. Lineage: Eukaryota; Metazoa; Chordata; Mammalia; Rodentia; Heteromyidae.